UACGGAGGGUGCAAGCGUUGUUCGGAAUUAUUGGGCGUAAAGCGCGUGUAGGCGGUCAUGUAAGUCAGAUGUGAAAGCCUCCCGCUUAACGGGAGAAGUGCAUUUGAAACUGCAUGACUGGAGUACGGGAGAGGAGAGUGGAAUUCCCGGUGUAGAGGUGAAAUUCGUAGAUAUCGGGAGGAACACCAGUGGCGAAGGCGGCUCUCUGGCCUGAUACUGACGCUGAGACGCGAAAGCGUGGGGAGCAAACAGG
Molecule: ribosomal RNA, 253 nt
Filed under: uncultured bacterium
Lineage: Bacteria
Description: partial 16S ribosomal RNA
Rfam family: Bacterial small subunit ribosomal RNA
Source: RNAcentral